RNAcentral lists this non-coding RNA (29 nucleotides) under Rattus norvegicus (Norway rat). Lineage: Eukaryota; Metazoa; Chordata; Mammalia; Rodentia; Muridae. The record is from RNAcentral.
UGACUCCCCACUGGUCCAGCAUGAAAGCU